GCCUGGCUGGUUUGAUAGGAGGAGCAUGUGACUCUUGAUCUCAGUGCUGUGGGUUCAAGCCCCAUGUCAGGUG
RNAcentral lists this transfer RNA (73 nucleotides) under Canis lupus familiaris (dog). It matches the Rfam family "tRNA". From Rfam's summary of the family: Transfer RNA (tRNA) molecules are approximately 80 nucleotides in length. RNAcentral also lists the same sequence under 2 other names. Lineage: Eukaryota; Metazoa; Chordata; Mammalia; Carnivora; Canidae. The record is from Rfam by way of RNAcentral.